UGUGAGACUCGAGGCAAAAUUUGGCGGUGU
Molecule: non-coding RNA, 30 nt
Filed under: Mus musculus (house mouse)
Lineage: Eukaryota; Metazoa; Chordata; Mammalia; Rodentia; Muridae
Source: RNAcentral